UACGUAGGUCCCGAGCGUUGUCCGGAUUUAUUGGGCGUAAAGCGAGCGCAGGUGGUUUAUUAAGUCUGGUGUAAAAGGCAGUGGCUCAACCAUUGUAUGCAUUGGAAACUGGUAGACUUGAGUGCAGGAGAGGAGAGUGGAAUUCCAUGUGUAGCGGUGAAAUGCGUAGAUAUAUGGAGGAACACCGGUGGCGACAGCGGCUCUCUGGCCUGUAACUGACACUGAGGCUCGAAAGCGUGGGGAGCAAACAGG
This 252-nucleotide ribosomal RNA is filed under the name uncultured bacterium. RNAcentral describes it as "partial 16S ribosomal RNA". It matches the Rfam family "Bacterial small subunit ribosomal RNA", at positions 524 to 776 of the family's 1533-position model. The record is from RNAcentral. RNAcentral also lists the same sequence under 1 other name.